GAGUUCAGGAUCACACAAUUUUGUUCUUAACUUUCUCCUGGCAUUAUUAUGGGUCUUUGCAGUGCCCUUCAACACAUCUAUAUUUGUACAACUCAUUCUAAUGUCUCCAACAAUGCAAAGUUAAAACCAUGGAGCUUGAAGUUCAGCUGUUGAUAGUCGAGCUAGUGGCUUGAUGGCAUAAUGAAGCCCCUUCAAAAGGAGAGCAUGUCACCUACAUCUCAUGUAAACAUUAGCUCUUUUCUUCCCUUUCAUUUCAUUUUUUCUUCGUUCGAUCUUUG
This 278-nucleotide unclassified non-coding RNA is filed under the name Hevea brasiliensis (rubber tree). The record is from RNAcentral. Lineage: Eukaryota; Viridiplantae; Streptophyta; Magnoliopsida; Malpighiales; Euphorbiaceae.